GAUUUAAGUGAAUAGCCUAGCUAUCUCACGCCCCCCUCUCGUUCUCUUGAAGAACUUUGAUUUUAACGAACUUAAAUAAAAGCCCUGUUGCAAAGUGUACUGUCGUGGUUCGCCAGACAUAUGCGCUGCAUUGGGUACAAUACUAAUUAAAUACUAUUUUUCAUUCUGAGCGGCGUGUCUCUUGUACAUCCCGGUCACAAUACCCAGUUCCGUCUGGUGCGUGACAAUCCGGGGCACACCAUGUCUUCCGUGGCUGGUGUGGUCGCGCAAGGUGCGCGCGACAUGUAU
The sequence is a regulatory RNA element, 288 nucleotides long. It matches the Rfam family "Betacoronavirus 5'UTR". Rfam says of the family: It has been predicted to contain 3 conserved stem-loops (SL1, SL2 and SL4). The record is from Rfam.